Carlito syrichta (Philippine tarsier) is the source of this 1435-nucleotide RNA transcript. It is a transcript of the gene named Down syndrome critical region protein 3 pseudogene, with no coding region annotated. The transcript has a single exon. The record is from RefSeq and is a predicted model, not a curated record. Lineage: Eukaryota; Metazoa; Chordata; Mammalia; Primates; Tarsiidae.
GCGGCUUCUGGAGAGAAUUCGAGAUGGGGACCUCCCUGGACAUCAAGAUUAAAAGAGCGAAUAAAGUUUAUCACGCUGGGGAAAUACUCUCCGGUGUGGUGGUCAUAUCUAGUAAGGAUUCAGUCCAACACCAGGGAGUGUCUUUGACAAUGGAAGAAACCGUGAACCUUCAGCUCAGUGCCAAAAGUGUGGGUGUGUUUGAAGCUUUUUAUAAUUCUGUUAAGCCUAUCCAGAUUCUCAACAGCACCAUAGAAAUGGUGAAGCCAGGGAAAUUUCCCAGUGGCAAAACAGAAAUUCCUUUUGAAUUUCCUCUGCAUGUGAAGAGUAACAAAGUUCUAUAUGAGACUUAUCACGGCGUGUUUGUCAACAUUCAGUAUACACUGCGCUGUGACAUGAGGCGUUCUCUGUUGGCCAAGGACUUGACAAAGACCUGUGAAUUUAUCGUUCAUUCUGCCCCUCAGAAGGGGAAAUUGACGCCGAGUCCUGUGGACUUCACGAUUACACCUGAAACCUUACAGAACGUCAAAGAGAGAGCCUUGCUCCCCAAAUUUCUCAUUAGAGGACAUCUCAACUCAACGAACUGUGUCAUCACGCAGCCCCUAACAGGAGAGCUGGUGGUGGAGAGCUCAGAGGCCGCCAUAAGAAGUGUGGAGCUGCAGCUGGUGCGCGUGGAGACCUGCGGAUGUGCAGAAGGCUAUGCCCGUGAUGCCACAGAGAUUCAGAAUAUUCAGAUUGCUGAUGGGGAUGUUUGCAGGGGCCUCUCUGUCCCCAUACACAUGGUCUUCCCCAGGCUGUUCACCUGUCCUACACUGGAGACCACCAACUUCAAAGUGGAAUUUGAGGUUAAUAUCGUUGUGCUUCUUCAUGCUGAUCACCUCAUCACAGAGAACUUUCCACUGAAGCUCUGCAGGGUAUAGCCCAGGAGGAGGGAAGCACAGAAAACAGGAGUGGUCACAUGGAAGUCCAGCUGGUUAUCUGACUGUUAAGGGGAGCUAAAGCAUAUACUUAUUUUCAUCAUUUUUCUGUAUCAGAAAUGAAGUGAAUUCUUCAGAUUACAAUUACUUUUCUUCUUCAUUUCUUCGAGACUUCUGCUUCCAACAGAGGUCUGGAAUCAAACCUUUUCUCUGAAAUUUAACAGGAUUUCUUAAUGCUGUUUGCAAGACUAUUUCACAGAAAACAUCUCCUGUGGCUCCUGACUUACCUGUUCCUUUCUGGGGACAUUAAAACAACUGUGACAGCGUUAGAGAUUUGGUGGAAAAUGAGAUCAUGGGGAUGAAAAGAAACCUCUCCAACCCAAUAAUGGGUGUAACUGGGGACUCCUGCAGCAAAGGGUCUGUGACCAGGCAACAUCCAGUAUGGCCACAAACAUACUCAUCACUUAGGAAGUUUGUAGAUACCCUCCAAGAUGGAGUGCAAAGUGGCAUCCACUAGAUGU